GGGUUGUGAGGUUAAGCGACUAAGCGUACACGGUGGAUGCCCUGGCAGUCAGAGGCGAUGAAGGACGUGCUAAUCUGCGAUAAGCGUCGGUAAGGUGAUAUGAACCGUUAUAACCGGCGAUUUCCGAAUGGGGAAACCCAGUGUGAUUCGUCACACUAUCAUUAACUGAAUCCAUAGGUUAAUGAGGCGAACCGGGGGAACUGAAACAUCUAAGUACCCCGAGGAAAAGAAAUCAACCGA
Molecule: ribosomal RNA, 240 nt
Filed under: Escherichia coli
Lineage: Bacteria; Pseudomonadati; Pseudomonadota; Gammaproteobacteria; Enterobacterales; Enterobacteriaceae
Also listed under: 1 other name
Description: partial 23S ribosomal RNA
Rfam family: Bacterial large subunit ribosomal RNA
Source: RNAcentral